GUGGGGAAUAUUCCGCAAUGGACGAAAGUCUGACGGAGCAACGCCGCGUGAGUGAUGAAGGUUUUCGGACUGUAAAGCUCUGUUGUCGGGGACGAAUGUGCAGUAUUUGAAUAAAGUAUUGCAAUGACGGUACCUGACGAGGAAGCCACGGCUAACUACGUGCCAGCAGCCGCGGUAAUACGUAGGUGGCAAGCGUUGUCCGGAAUUAUUGGGCGUAAAGGGAGCGCAGGCGGGAAGGUAAGUCGGUCUUAAAAGUGCGGGGCUCAACCCCGUGAUGGGAUCGAAACUAUCUUUCUUGAGUGCAGGAGAGGAAAGUGGAAUUCCUAGUGUAGCGGUGAAAUGCGUAGAUAUUAGGAGGAACACCAGUGGCGAAGGCGACUUUCUGGACUGUAACUGACGCUGAGGCUCGAAAGCCAGGGGAGCGAACGGGAUUAGAAACCCGGGUAGUCC
Molecule: ribosomal RNA, 450 nt
Filed under: uncultured bacterium
Lineage: Bacteria
Description: partial 16S ribosomal RNA
Rfam family: Bacterial small subunit ribosomal RNA
Source: RNAcentral